CAUAAAUCCAAAAUUCCAUGAAUCAAAAUGAUCAUCAAAGGUAAUCUCAUGUUAUUCCAAGAAAUCAAUAUCAUGAUUUUGAUAAAACUCAUUUCAAAUUUAAAUCAUCAAAAUCAUCAAAAUAUCAACAUUACUUUCAAGAGAUUCAAAAUGGUAUACAUAGAUUUAUCAUAAUAAACAUCAAGAUCAAUAGGAUAGAGAAAAAUAAUUUUUCAAGGAAAAAAUAUUUUCCUCUUUUUAGUUGUUUCAAUUCAUAUGAUUUUAUUUCACUUAUACCAAAUAAAAACAUGUAUAAUG
This 297-nucleotide long non-coding RNA is filed under the name Musa acuminata (dwarf banana). Its description in RNAcentral is "long non-coding RNA (MACU_LNC007065)". Lineage: Eukaryota; Viridiplantae; Streptophyta; Magnoliopsida; Zingiberales; Musaceae. The record is from RNAcentral.